CAGGAUGAACGCUAGCUACAGGCUUAACACAUGCAAGUCGAGGGGCAGCAUGGGAUUAGCUUGCUAAUCCUGAUGGCGACCGGCGCACGGGUGAGUAACGCGUAUCCAACCUUCCCCCUACUCAGGCAUAGCCCGGUGAAAACCGGAUUAACUCCUGAUAGUUUCACUAGAUGGCAUCUGACGGUGAAUAAAGCUCAGCGGUAAGGGAUGGGGAUGCGUCUGAUUAGCUUGUUGGCGGGGUAACGGCCCACCAAGGCUACGAUCAGUAGGGGUUCUGAGAGGAAGGUCCCCCACAUUGGAACUGAGACACGGUCCAAACUCCUACGGGAGGCAGCAGUGAGGAAUAUUGGUCAAUGGGCGCGAGCCUGAACCAGCCAAGUAGCGUGCAGGAAGACGGCCCUAUGGGUUGUAAACUGCUUUUGUGCGGGAAUAAAGUCAGGGACGUGUCCCUGUUUGCAUGUACCGCAAGAAUAAGGACCGGCUAAUUCCGUGCCAGCCGCCGC
This 503-nucleotide ribosomal RNA is filed under the name uncultured bacterium. Its description in RNAcentral is "bacterial SSU rRNA". It matches the Rfam family "Bacterial small subunit ribosomal RNA", at positions 25 to 518 of the family's 1533-position model. The record is from RNAcentral.